AGCGAACGCUGGCGGCAGGCCUAACACAUGCAAGUCGAACGAACCUUUCGGGGUUAGUGGCGGACGGGUGAGUAACACGUGGGAACGUGCCUUUAGGUUCGGAAUAACUCAGGGAAACUUGUGCUAAUACCGAAUGUGCCCUUCGGGGGAAAGAUUAAUCGCCUUUAGAGCGGCCCGCGUCUGAUUAGCUAGUUGGUUGAGGUAAUGGCUCACCAAGGCGACGAUCAGUAGCUGGUCUGAAAGGAUGAUCAGCCACAUUGGGACUGAGACACGGCCCAAACUCCUACGGGAGGCAGCAGUGGGGAAUCUUGCGCAAUGGGCGAAAGCCUGACGCAGCCAUGCCGCGUGAAUGAUGAAGGUCUUAGGAUUGUAAAAUUCUUUCACCGGGGACGAUAAUGACGGUACCCGGAGAAGAAGCCCCGGCUAACUUCGUG
This 434-nucleotide ribosomal RNA is filed under the name uncultured bacterium. Its description in RNAcentral is "partial 16S ribosomal RNA". It matches the Rfam family "Bacterial small subunit ribosomal RNA", at positions 29 to 507 of the family's 1533-position model. The record is from RNAcentral.